GCAGCUGUGGCGGAAUUGGUAGACGCACUAGAUUCAGGUUCUAGCGGGGAAACCCAUACAGGUUCCACUCCUGCCAACUGCACCA
RNAcentral lists this transfer RNA (85 nucleotides) under Erysipelotrichia bacterium. Its description in RNAcentral is "tRNA-Leu". It matches the Rfam family "tRNA". From Rfam's summary of the family: Transfer RNA (tRNA) molecules are approximately 80 nucleotides in length. Lineage: Bacteria; Bacillati; Bacillota; Erysipelotrichia. The record is from RNAcentral.